CAGUAGCUGGUCUGAGAGGAUGAUCAGCCACACUGGGACUGAGACACGGCCCAGACUCCUACGGGAGGCAGCAGUGGGGAAUUUUCCGCAAUGGGCGAAAGCCUGACGGAGCAAUACCGCGUGAGGGAGGAAGGCUCUUGGGUUGUAAACCUCUUUUCUCAAGGAAGAACACAAUGACGGUACUUGAGGAAUCAGCAUCGGCUAACUCCGUGCCAGCAGCCGCGGUAAUACGGAGGAUGCAAGCGUUAUCCGGAAUGAUUGGGCGUAAAGCGUCCGCAGGUGGCGAUGUAAGUCUGCUGUUAAAGAGUGAGGCUCAACCUCAUAAAAGCAGUGGAAACUACAUAGCUAGAGUGCGGUAGGGGCAGAGGGAAUUCCUGGUGUAGCGGUGAAAUGCGUAGAGAUCAGGAAGAACACCGGUGGCGAAAGCGCU
Molecule: ribosomal RNA, 430 nt
Filed under: Nostoc hatei AUS-JR/DB/NT-008
Lineage: Bacteria; Bacillati; Cyanobacteriota; Cyanophyceae; Nostocales; Nostocaceae
Description: bacterial SSU rRNA
Rfam family: Bacterial small subunit ribosomal RNA
Source: RNAcentral